CGCGUGCAGCUCGCGGCGGGACGGGCGGCGUGUGGGGCUCGGCGGCGACGGAACGGCAACGGCCGUGCAGACCGGCAGCCCAGUUAGAAGUUCUGCAUGUGGGAGAGAGGUGCCCCAGUCUGAAGAUGCUCAACGAUGCUUCUGUACACGAGGCACUACUGAAAGAUGAAGUGGCUCUUUUAACAGUAAGGCAUAUAUAAUGGACCCAGAAUAACUGUGCAUGCUUCCAAAAUGUUACCACAGCUGAGGUUCAUCCUUGAACUCUGGUGGUCUGGAACAACUGCCUUACCAGUUCUCUCUGACAGAUGUAGUCUGACUCAAUCACAAGCAAACUGUGCAACAGACAGAACAGUAUAUUUAACCCCAGAGUGUUCAUCAGAUGAAACAGGCCAUGGAAACAAUGACAUUUAAGUGCUACUUGUAAUCUUCAUCAUUGGCCACCUCAAGCUAUUUGCAUCUCCCUUCUGGCAGCUGACUGAGUGUAACUUUCCUGGGAAGAGCUGUGUACUAUUCAAGCCACAUCUAAAACUCAAGAGCUUCCAUUCAAGCUGGCCAGAGCUUCCUGCAUUCCCAUUUCCACUCCCUAGCAUGAGAUAAAGGACCUGCAGCAGUUCCCAAACUUAGCACUGGUACAAGUUCUGCCUGUCAGCCCACUGUACUGCUGCCUACCCAGGAAGACUUAUCAGAAGGGGAACGUUCAUCUCCUGCUAAACUGAUAUUUAGCUAUUGUAGAAGAAAAGACCGAAGUAAAAAAACUUAGAUUAAGCACAGUAUGUGCAAUGCAAUAAUAUGACAGAAAGUAUAGCAAUAAUAGCAGAGUGCCAAAGUCUUCAGCUACAGCAAACAACAACAAGCCCAAACACAGCAGCUAUGGAUACCGAAACAGAAGAACAAAUCUGCUUACCUUUGAAAGGCCUCAGGCAGCUUCCAUCACCGAGGGAAAGAACUCUGAGCUGGUUUUACAACAGCAGAACAUUGUCUGGCUGAAGCAUUAUGACAGAAAGGGAUAGUAAUACAGCUGUUAAAAGUUUGCUCUCUUCUGUACUCAAGGAAUCCAUCAAAGAACUCUUCUAGAAGAAGAGCCCAUAUGCGGAGUAAGACAGCAUGAUGUAUGAAUCCCAUCGCUGAAAUCAACUCUUGGAUUCAACAGUGCCAUUUGAACGGACAAAACCAUUAUUUUCUUUAGCCAUUCAAGCAAGGGAAACAUACUAACUCAAUUGCCAGCAUAGCUACCAGAAGGAAAUUGUGUAUGCUUUUUAGUAUUCAAGACCUUGCUCUAUUGCCUUACUCAUAUGAAAUUCAGCAUCUCUUUUGAAAACAGCAAAACAAUGACUUUGUCUCCAUUUUAAUUUGGAAGGAGUCCAAAUUAAGCUAUUAUGAGAGAUAAAUGAUAUAAUGAGAGUUGCAUGCAAUUUACUGAAAAAAAAAAUGAACAAGCAAAAUGACCUCUCAAAUGUUUGCAUUUUUCUUUUUUGAACUUACUGAAAUUUUUAUGUUCUAGGUAGUGAAGUCAAGUUUCAUAUUCAGCUUUCCUGUUAAUGUUAACAUGUACAUGACAGGUUCCAACUAAGCAGAAAAAUAGGACAUUAGGAUGCCAACCUAGCGUUCCGUUAUUAUCAAGAAUAAAUGAACUCAACUUAAACAGAGUUUCUAUAUUAACUAUUUCCAGAAUACACUCCUAUGCAGAACACUGUCUCGUAGGAAUUUGACUGGCAAAUAUCAGAUAUUCUGGCACUGAAAAGAAAAUCUGAGAACCUUUGUUACUGAAGCUGUAGUGGUGAACAAAAAUAGACUGCAAGCACUGGUGGAAACAUGGGCUACAGGGCCCUGUGAUCACAAACCUUCUGAGCAGGAAAGUCUGCCCGCUUAUAGAAAAGGUCAUCUUCAGUUUUGCAGCUCCAGGCUUUUAAUCUUAAGUAAGCCAAUCAGAUCUGAAUUAAGUGAUGAACGUAUUAUGUUAAUGAGCAUAAUUAUGCUAAUGAACAUUCCUUCAAGGAAUCUUCAUUCUUGAUUCAUUAGUUAGAUGUUACCAUCUGAAACCAAUGGAAAAUGUUUUGAAAAACUCAAUUAACCCCUCUGGGGUAAUCUUAAGACCUUAACAGACUGUCUUCCAGUGCUACCUCUGUUAUUUAUUCCCAGAUUUGUCUGUAGUCAUCAUUUCACUCAGAGUCCUCUGCCUUUUUAAACUUAUUUUUCUUCUGACAGUUACUUCAACCCUGCCGGAAAAACAAAACAAAACAAAAAUCUAUAAUCAUGUUUUAUUACUGCACUGCAGGCUCUGCAAUCCAGAUCCCAACAGUAUCACCUUCUGAACAAGCAUGGGAAAAUGCUAAAACAGCAGAAAAGUUGUCAGAGCCUGCCUGCACUAUUGACUAACCAGAGACUAGCUUGGGACAGGCACUAUCCAGCCAGCAAAUAGGCAGCUUUCUGCAGUACACUGUGUACUUCUUAGGGAUGGCACUUACUGUUUGGUGCCAGUGUGCUCCCGUGUUACAUUCCUGGUCCCACACAAUUACAUGUGUAUCUAAGGUUGCACUUACACUCCCACCUGUUAAGGUAACACACAGGAAGUAUCAUGGUAAGCUAUUAACAGCACAUGUUUUUACAGGACAGUAGCCUAUUUGUUCAGAUGAAUUCAAGUCACUUAAAAGUUAUUCCAUCCAUGGCUGGUAUUAAUAGCAUCCACACGUGUAACAUUUAUAUCAGUGGACAUAAAUCAGCAUCAGUCUAUUAAAUUCAAAACCACAUCAUUUCGGCUCAGCAGCUGACACUACAGGCUUACAAAAGAAACACUUAACAUAUACUUUUCCAUGAUGAAACGUGAGAAUAUGUCUAUUGAUGGUUACGUGUUCUCUACAAGAAGCCUCUCUGAGCCUUAAGGUUUACUUUCCAUAAUCAGCAGCACCUCCCCAGUGGGUUUUUAAUAUGUUUUAUCAGCUUAGAGUUCCUGAACAUCACACUUGCAUGUGGAAAGGCCAGAGAAUUGCCAGCUCUCGAUCAGCUGCAGUGAAAGCACAGCUUUGUAGUCCCAAAGCCCUGACUAUACCUGGGAGUGCAUACAUGGUAUCUGAUUGAAGUUACAGGUGUUAUAAUUCUCCUCUUGCCAGUGGGUCAUUAUUUCACUCCAUCAAAAGAGAAAAAUAAAACAUGUGAAGAACUCUGCAGUGACCUGCUUAGUCCCACAGAGGUCACAGUAGAGACUGAUUUAUGAUGACUGACAACUGCCUAUGAUUAUGAAAAUUGCUAGCCAGGACAGCAUAUAUUACUGAUGCCUGCUGAAUAGGGCACAGAGAAAUCAUUUUCCCUUUUAGUAUUCCUAAAGGUUUACUGUUCUUAGCUUUAUUCAAAGAAACUUAAGACCCGAGGAAAACAAUGCUGUGUAUAUAAACAGGGCAAACAUUAUGCUGUUAUUUAAAAAUGUCAGCCUGAUACUUGAUGUAAGGUUCUGACUUAAUAUGUAAGGCAAAACAAAUGAGUUUGAAAAUCUCUGUUUAGUGGUUUAGAAAAUGGGAUCUGAGAUUGCUUUAAAGAAGGUCAUAAAGACCUCUCAACCUCUCCUUUUAUUUAUGUUUUCUCAAAUAUAUUGACUGGCUUGAUGGUGCACCACAGACAAAUAUCUACAUGCUUCACAUAAUGAAACAGUGUCAUUACCUUAUCUGGACAAACUCCCAGUGUAAUUGCAACCAAAGUAAAACAGCUCUGAGACUGCAAAGAAGUGUCAAAACAGGAAAUACAAUAGCAUAGACCUGAGAUGUUUUCCAUUUGCAGACUUUCAUAUAGGUGUCUUUUUUCAUACUUUUAGCCCUAUAUUGGAAAGCAUAAUUUGAUGAUAGACGUGAAACUGUGUAUUAGUUUUUAUUUUGACAAAUUCAUUAGACAUCACAUAGCUUGAAAAAUGAACCAGGAGGCACUAAGUCAGCCUGAGAAGAUUGUACUUCAUAAACUGAAUUGCUCACAUGGGCAACAUUUUGGUGGAAGUUAUAGAUUUUCUAGCAUAUCCCUGAUAGAUAGCACUAAUAUAACUUCAAUAAAAACUCUGGAUAUGUCAAUAUAAAAUUUUUUCAAGCAUCGAAAGAUGUAAGAUACUUCAGCUAAUAAAUUGGAAGAUUCCCUGUUCCUCAAGGUACACUAACUUACACAUCAGAUUAUAAAGAGUAUUGAAGCCACACAGAGUACAGCAGGCAGCUGUAGGUUUGCUGCUUUUAGAAGUUGCACUAAAUUGAAUUAUCAAUAUAUGAAAGUAAUAAUUGGAAAUUAAGAUCUAGAUGACCCUUUUUGUAAAAAUGUUAGCAUUCUUCAAUUUUUAACUGUUAGAUGAUAGACAAUUUUUCAUAGCUGACAUGACUGAUAGACUGUAUUUGAUGCAAAUAAUUGAUGUUCCUUCUCUCUCUUCCUAACACAUGACCUUUCACUUACUUCCUUAUAUUGUUACCACUUCCAGAUUGAUAUGGUAUUGGAAAUGCAAAUGGUUAUCCUUCUUCUGAAAAAAACCUUACAGAACCUGAUGUAAGACUUCAUUGGUUACAACUGUAUGGGACAGGAUUGUGUGUAUGUAUAUAUAUAUUUACAUUUGUGGAUGUUUGCGCAUGCACACAAACAUAAAUACACAGUGUUAGAAUUUCUUUAAGUUAUACAAUUAUUUCUGUAUCUUACAGUGACCUACCACGCACAAAUUGUAACUGAAAGUAGCUGCAUGAUUAUUUGUACGCAUUCAACAACCAGUGACUGUAAAUAAAAAGAAGAUAUGGAAAUGCACUAACAUUUGAAUAAUGACAGCUUUUAAAAUAGAAAGAAGAUGACUUGGAAGAAAGUUACAGUUUCAAGUAGAAUGCUGGCAGGAAUUUGAGACACUGUUUGGACUUGCCUUAGAAAAAUCUUCAACUUUUAGUACAAAAAUGUAUUGUGGACAAGACGAAAUCUAGAGUAUCUACCAUACUUUGCACACUAUUUGAUACUUUUGCAAGGCUUGAGAGAGACUUUCUGGCCAACAGUAACAAACAGAUCAUACAGAGUUUGCAGUUACAUAAUAUUUUCCAAAUACUACUGCACUAGAAACUAAAAAGCCAUGUUCAAAUGUGUCAGAGGAAAUCAUUGUAAGGCUCUAUUAACACUACAGAGGCAAGCAUUCAAGUCAGGCAUCUGAACACCGUAUGAGCAGUAUGAUGAACGUGCAUAAUUGUAUGACCUGGGGUUAAGAAAAAGUACUCUUCUAAGGGCCCCAAACUCCACAAUAUACCUCAGUGAGAAAACUCUUCUCUUUGCUUGCUCCCAUAUUCUUGACUUGUAGAUUCUUAUAUUUUAAUUACAAGUAUGUAGAUAACUUAGAGUUUGUUGUUUGUUUGUUUGUUUUUUUCUGUCACAGGCAAAUUUUCUGUACUUCUACGUGGUAUUUGCCUCUAUCUCAACAAAGUAACUAAGAAGUUUCUGUGAAUUAAGAGCAGAGACAAAUAUAUUACAUCUCUUUAACUGAUGAAAGCAGCAGAUUUUCACUGAUCUGCAGGCAGCUGUUCUGUGUUCAGUGGAGUCGGAUGCCCAUCAUUUUCAUUUUUAUAUGAAAAAUGUUUCUUGGAAAACUCAUUAUCCCUAUUCAGGAGCCUUAAUAUAAAAUGAAAUUGGUCAAAAGGAUCUGAACACCUAAUACACAGUUCUGUCAUUCCUGUAUGGAACUUCUGGCAUAAAAGAAAACUGAGAAGGAUCACUAUUAGCAGUGGCCAGCUUUAGCUAAGCACUUCAAAAUGCACAGAACUAGGCAGAGAAUAGAUGAAGCUUUAUGCUGGUCUGACUGCUAGGGAAAUGAAUUUAUGUCUUCAGUAGCAUUUCCUUAGAAGAAUGCAUUGUGACUCCCUGUACACUCUGUAACACAAAGGGAUGAAGAUUUCUUUUGUUUUUGAGUCUCUGGUUUGGUUGUUGGUCAAGUACAACAGAAGGGGAAGAGGGAGUUACAUCUACAUGGUUGAAUAAAUAAAAAGUACUGAUAAAUACCGGAGUAAGAUUUUCCCUUCUGUAAGAAAAUGCAGUUGUUUCCAUAAUAUAUUCAUUAAAUGUAGAAAUGUAAAGGGUGUAUAUUCUUUUAUGUAUUCCCAUUUGACAAAUAAAUAACUGAUUAAUAUCUGUACUGCAUAUUCUUCCAGAAUAAUUAUUUCCUUUUGGAUGAACUCAGAAAACAAGUCAGUGGAUGAUACUAUACCUGUUUCCAGACAAAUACUUGUGAGCAUUCCCAACCUGUUAAAAGGAAGCAAUUAUGGUAGAGGACCAGACUACAUGGAUGACCUGAACCUUGCUCACAACAGAUGAGAAAAAAUGACAUUUUUCUCCUUUCUGAAAGACUUUUAUAGCUUGUGAAAAGGAAACUUCAAGGAAGGUGGGGAGAUUGAAGGCUGGACUGGUACGUAUGGGAGGUACAGACUGGUAGGAAUGUGAGACCUUAAAAGUGCCAACAAUAGGACUCACUGUGUUAACACAAUUGAAAAGCCAAAAAUGUCAAAUUGAGAUGUGUUAGUACUAAUAAAUAUAUACAUGUAUGUAUUUACGUAUAUGCAUAAAUAUAUAUAUAUAAACCAUAUCACUCAUGUUGACAGAAAAAGUAGGCACUUGUAUGUGAGUGCGCAUGCACUGGCAAAACUGCAUCUGACAAAACAGGCACACGUUUUCUGGGGUACCUUUUAGUAGGCGAAAACUUCAUCUGUUACAUCAUGAAAGAAGUUGCCACCAAUUUAAAAUUUAAUCUCAAACUGAUGCAAAAAUAGUCCAGUUAAGACUUUAAGGGUGUUACUCAGAAAUUGCAUUUAUUGGGCUGACUUGCUAAAGCAAAGUGAAAAUAUUUCCUAGAUUUAAAAUCUAUACAAAUUAUUUUUGACAUUACAACAAUUAAAGAUUUGUGCAGAUGUAAAAAAGGAGUAAUUGCUGAACAUUUCAUGCAAUCCAUUUUCCAGCAAUUCCUAUGAGGAAUGAUAUGUUCCUUGCUGAUUAUGGGCUGUGAGUAUGACCAGCCGGUUUCUUCAUUCUAAUUUCUCAUUGCUGUGUGUUUCUCUCACAAACCUUCACAUCUGCCUUAGUCUUGCUGCCCACUAGCAUAUGGUGCACUUGUGUUCUAGUUCAGAACAAGAAUAAAGAGUUUUUUUUCCUUUGAUACAUUUUGUUCACCAGAACUGGAAGCUCUUCCUUUUCUAUUGUACUACACCUGUAAUGAUCUCAGAACAUAUCAAUUGUCUUAAAGUUUUUCCUUCUUGAUUUAGUUAUGUUGUGAUAUCUCUUAUCUCCUAUCCUAAUCACACUAAAAUUAUCUAAGAACAGUAUAUAAAAAAGGACAAUUUCAGUUUUCUUCUAUACUGAAAGUAUUUGUAGGUCUGCAUGAACAAGCCUUGUCAGUAUCCUCCAUGGACUGAUUUGCCAUACUAACGUAAGAAAGAGUCCAAGUAUCUUUACUUACACAGUUAGGUAAAUGGAAUUUGAUUUGAUUUGCAAAUUCAAUGCAAAAUGGAUAUAUCUGAAACUUAAUUCUACUUCUACCUACUUAGACCUAUAGGAAAAUAAGACUGAAUGUAUAAAUAGGGUUUUACCAGUAUGUUUUAAUGUCUGCUCAGUCACUCAUAAUAAUGAUCAACAUGUUGAUUCUGACUAAAUGAAGCUGAAAAUCAGAUUUUCCCAAUAUAUCACAUCAGCAUACACAUCUGCUGAUCAGUGUUAAUUAGUCCUGUAUUUUCCAAUUUGUAAUCUGUGGAUGUUUUAUGGGGAUGUAAAUAGUAACAUAUUAGCAUUUAUAAUCUUUCUUUGGAAAGCUUAUGCUGAGCAAGUGACCAAUAAAUUGCAGUUAACGUAAACAUUAAUCAAAUUGAAUGCCAGUAUGGAAAGAGUCUCAAGUUUAGAGGGAAAAAUCAACUUUCUGUCAUGUAUUUUAUUGCUGAAGUGUAAUUAAGUAAGAUCAUGACGAUCUCUGAAUAUUCAAUGACAAAUAGAUAUAUUUGUUUCAAGAUCUGUGUGCCAUCCUGAAGCGCUAAUCACUUGACCAUUAGAGUGAAUGGAUGCCACUCAAUCUACAAUGGUGAAUUAAAUUUCCAGUGGUUGGAUGAAAGAAUAAAAAGAGAGAGAGAAAAAAUGCAUAAAUGAGUAUGAAAUGUUGUAAUAUGAGAGGUUAGUAUAUAAAGCCACAAAGUGAUGAGUACUUCACAGAAAUGUAAUGACCUACAUUUGGCCUAAACAAGCUAUUGUAUGACCAUAAAUGUACCAUUAUUUUGAACAAAUGAAGAUUGCAGAUAUAGUAGGUAAACAACAAUAAAUAUAAAACACACAAUCUGUUGUCAUGAGCAAAGAAAGUAUUUAAAUAUCAGUGCUGCUCUGCACUGCAAUAACUUUAUAUAUAUAUUUUUUUUCCCUCCAGCAUUUAUCUUGCUCUUAUAUGAUAUGCUUUUCCUCAAAAACAAACAAACAAAAAAAAAAGCCACAAACUACUGAAAGAAGUGAAGCUAAAACAGAGUAUUUUUAUGGAUUUCCUAGAGUGCACAUAUACAACCUGGAAUGAACGUACAGAAGGAAUGUUUAUCUUUAAGUUUGGCCAGGAAAAUGAAGAAUUGGAGAAUGGCUCACAGAGAGCUCAGUUUGAACAAAGGAAUUUCUCAAAUAAGGUGCAAAUAGAAUAGAUUAUCUGAAAUAAGAAAAAGCAUUAAGUCAAAGUAUGCUAAAGAAAUUAGUGGACUUAAAAUUUGGUCAUCUAUGAACUUACAUAUAUUUAUUCUUUAACUAUAUCUAAUAAUGGUAUGAUGAUGAAGCGUAUGCAAAAAUCUACUCAGUUUGAAACACCCUCCUAAAGCUAACAAAUAUAAAUACUUUCAAUAGAAUGCUUCUAAUAAAUUAUUAGAGGAACACAGGGCAAAAAAUAGAAGCAAUCAUCCUGAGAAAACCUAGGUGACCUGAUGCUGUGCUAAAGGAGACAGCAAACUAAUUCUUGGAAUGAGAAGAGGCAGGAAGGGUUUCUAGACCAGGCAUGGUAGGAGCACUAAGUGUUGAGGGGAUGAACCCUGGUUCUCCACCACCAAGUGCUGACUACCAGAAAGGUAUUGCACAUUGACAGAACCCACAAAGUCAGUGUGCCAUAGCAUCCUGUCUUUGGAGAACAAAACUAAGAACAUGUAAAGGGCAGAAAUAACAGCUGAAUUUAAGCAGACUUGAAGCUGAAAGCAAUGUAACAGAAUUGAGGUCAUACAGAAAGGUGGAUUACAUAUUAGAGCCUGGAAGUCUCAUCCUACCAGGCCAAGCAGCAUUCAACAAAGAAGAAUGAGGAAUAGGAAUUUUGGGGUUUGUUUUUCAUCUUUUUCUUGUUUUCUUUCUAAAUAAAAUUGACAUAUCUAGAAAACUGAAAGCCAGGCAGACUGGGCAGCGAGAAAUAUUUUCCUGUGUUACAUUUAUUUUACUAAAAAGCACUGUUGCUCAGGCAGAUCCUGUACUACAAAAAUAUGCAAAGUUUUUGCAAAAACAAAGGUAUGUGGCAGCUCUUCUCACUAUAAUGAGUGAGGGAGGGACAUUCUGAGGAGAUGAAUGAAGUAUGGGUGCCUUCUGCAAAAAAAGAGCUGUUUCAUUCCUGAACUACUAUCUACUUUCUAAGUAGGUUGGUCUCCUGAUCAGAAUAAUCUUUUUAUUUUUAUUAUUUCUAUUUCCUUUUAAUCAUUUUUGUGAAGCCUAUUUUUACUAAUAUUUGUUCAGUUGCAGCAAUAACCACCAAAAGGUGGUUAUUAUCUUUUGAAUUAGUGUGAUGUUCUAUAAAGAAAGAGGAAACAUUUCUGUCUGCAGUAAAAACAGUAGAAACACAGGAGGUUUUAAACUGCUUUUAGUACGAUAGCAAAGAUUUCAUGGGAAGGUAACUAUAAGCACCAUCAAGAACAGCUCUGACCUUAACACAUACCUCAAAGGACAAUUAGGUUUAGCUCUGGAGGGUUUUUAUCUUUAAACAUCUUGCUGAGUAAAAACUCUUCCUACAGUCAUCAGACUGUACUGACUUUGUUACAUGCCAAACACAGUAUUUGUGGCUGCAAUAGAGCACCAGAUAUUUAAUGUUCUUGCUGUUAUGGCAUAUGCAUAAUGCACAGCUUAUGCAACUUUCAUGGGUUUUUCUUUGCUGCACCCUUUAAUCUCUCUCAGAAGACCUUUGUGGUGUUAUUCUUUAUUUAUUUUACAUAGUGCUUGCACCCAUCAAGGAUAAACACAAAUAAAACUUCUGGAAGUUACCAGGCCAGUUAUCUAUUUGGAGACUUGGUUAACUUUGAGCACUAUAUACAAAACAUAUGCUACCAAUCAUGCAAGUCACAGACCUCUGAUGAGGUGAAACCACAAUUUUUCAUACGUAAGUAUGAUGAAAGAGGUAAGUUUCAACCAGCUAAAGUGCCCGUGAAUAAUAACUUUGUAACAAGAAAGAUUAGGCCUGACAUGCAAACAUCUUUUUGUAAAAAGAAACUUUUUGAUCAAGCUGUGAAUUUAAAUGCAAUAACUGAAAAAAAAAAAAAAAGAAAGAAAGAAAAAAAAAAAGAUAAUAGAGGAAAAAUUUGUACAAGUUGCAAAGACCAUUCUCUCAAAAGGAGAAAAAGAUGAAAUGAAAUUGCCCUGUAUUCCCUGUUAACAAUUUUCUCUCCAACAUAUCUUAAGUUAACUAGCCUGAGGUAUAUCCUGUGGACACAGCAAUGACUGCAUGCACACCGUGUGCGCUCAAGAAUAGCAAGUAAGUAUGAAGUCGUGGAGUUAGUAAGGACUAGUAAGGACUUCACCACUAGGCCUGAAAAAAUGAAGAGAUCAUUGUGAUGUCCUUAAGGACCUCUCCUUAAGGACCUGACAGCCUGAGGCAGAUAGGAAGGACAUCACACUGAUGAGGUAGAAGUGUUUGUGAAAGCCCUAACAAUGUUUUUAUUUUUUUAUUUUUUAUUUUUAUUUUUUGCUUUUUACAGGAGAAACUAUAAGCUCAUUAAGAAAUGAUAAUCAUUCUGUUCCUCUCACAUAACAUGGAGAACUGUACAAGAUGGAAGAAUAUUAAGAGCUAUCACAGAGUACUAUACUCUAAUGAGGAAAGCUCAUGCUUCAAUUUCCUGAGUUUGACCUCUGAAAAGGCACUGAGCCUCUAGGAAUCAAGGUGUUUUUUUUUCUUUCCUUCUGUGUAUUGAGUUCUUCAUUUGUUCAAUGGGGCUAAUAUAACCUCUGUACCUUCUGAGAAUAGAAACGUUAAAGACUGACUCAGUUUUAUGGUAAUGGAAACCAUUUUGUAAGCAAGACCAAAAGAAUCUCCUCUGAAGACCAGUUACAGCCAGAAUGAGAUAGGUCUCUUUCAAAUAUAGCAAAAACUUUCCAAAACAGAGCAUAUAAUAAAUGCACUAGUUUCCUUUUUCUCUCAUUUUAAUCUGCAACAAUGAAAAAUAUUCACUGUGUUUCUUUUCACUACCAUUUCCUUUUUUUCCUUUGUUUUUCUUUAUUCCUUCCCACUCUCAUUCCAUUCCCUACUUUUAUAAUUCCUUUGCUAAUAAACAAAUAGUCCACUCAUCUAAUUCCUUGACUUCAGUGUGCUACAAACCAGCAUAAGGGCUGCAGAAUUUGAUGAAUGCAAGACAGAAUGGAAGCAGAAGAGAAAGUACGAUACGAGGAGGCGAACAGCUCUGGAGUACUGAGCUCAGCAGGCUAAAUACUACCGCCCUGAUAAGCAAUCUCCAAAGAACAGAACUUGCACUAGUGACGUUGUUGCAAGCAGACUGCAUGUUUAGAACAAAGACUUUCCACAACGCUGCCUUGUAACCUAUGGAGGAUUCCCACUGCCAUCUUGGGAAAAUGCUGCACUGUCCAAAUUUUCAAAAAACAGUAAAAAGGAACAAAUAGAUGAAAUUCAUUCUUAUUAGGAAACUAAAGAAAAAACAACAGGAAAAGCCUCUACAAAACAACAAACUGGUGUGUGUAAAUUACCAGCAAUUCACUGAAAGAGAGAAAGUGGAAACCAGGUUAUAAUGAAGACAAAGUAAGAAGUCACAGUAAGAGAAAAACAGACAACAGAAUCUCAAGGCCUGCAUUUUUCUCCCCUUGAGUACAAACUUAAAGCCAACAGAACCUCAAAUCAUCUCCUUCCACUUGAAAUCUGACUGUCCUCACCAACAGAGAACUUAAAAGCAGUAUUUUAAAAGCUAUGUUGUUAGAACAUUUAUUAAUCAAAAGCUCAAGGACUAAUUGAAAGAUAUGUACAUUUUUUCUAACAGAGCAAUCUCUCUUAAAAU
This 12233-nucleotide long non-coding RNA is filed under the name Gallus gallus (chicken). RNAcentral's name for it is "lncRNA (ENSGALG00010010232.1)". Lineage: Eukaryota; Metazoa; Chordata; Aves; Galliformes; Phasianidae. The record is from RNAcentral.